UAGGGAAUCUUCCGCAAUGGACGCAAGUCUGACGGAGCAACGCCGCGUGAGUGAAGAAGGAUUUCGGUUCGUAAAACUCUGUUGUUAGAGAAGAACAGCGCAUAGAGUAACUGUUAUGCGUGUGACGGUAUCUAACCAGAAAGCCACGGCUAACUACGUGCCAGCAGCCGCGGUAAUACGUAGGUGGCAAGCGUUGUCCGGAUUUAUUGGGCGUAAAGCGAGCGCAGGCGGUCAAUUAAGUCUGAUGUGAAAGCCCCCGGCUCAACCGGGGAGGGUCAUUGGAAACUGGUUGACUUGAGUGCAGAAGAGGAGAGUGGAAUUCCAUGUGUAGCGGUGAAAUGCGUAGAUAUAUGGAGGAACACCAGUGGCGAAGGCGACUCUCUGGUCUGUAACUGACGCUGAGGCUCGAAAGCGUGGGUAGCAAACAGGAUUAGAUACCCUGGUAGUCCACGCCGUAAACGAUGAGUGCUAAGUGUUGGAGGGUUUCCGCCCUUCAGUGCUGCAGUUAACGCAUUAAGCACUCCGCCUGGGGAGUACGACCGCAAGGUUG
Molecule: ribosomal RNA, 550 nt
Filed under: uncultured bacterium
Lineage: Bacteria
Description: bacterial SSU rRNA
Rfam family: Bacterial small subunit ribosomal RNA
Source: RNAcentral